UAUUGGGCCAAAGCCCGAGAUGCCCGCCGGCAAAAUAAAAAUCACUUCUUUACCUCCGCCGCCACGCCGAAAUGGCGCCUCCCCUUCUGCUCCUCCUCCUCCCGCUCCUCGCCGCCGCCACGCCGCCCGCGCACCCAGACGAGCCUCCGUCCUGCGCCGCUGUGGCCGCGCCGGUGCCCUUGCCGGAGCGGCGGGAGGCGCACGGCGGGGGCCGCAUCCUGGACAUCACCCACUACUACCGGGAGGACAUGCCCUCCUGGGAGUCCGACGCCGGGAUCGGCCAGUUCCUCUGGCUGCCCGCCUCCAUGCGCAACGGCUCGCUCGCCAACAACUCCGAGAUGCGGAUGCCCACGCACACCGGCACCCACGUCGACGCCCCCGGCCACGUCUUCCAGCACUACUUCGACGCCGGCUUCGACGUCGACACGCUCGACCUCGACGUCCUCAACGGUCCUUCACUGUUGGUUGAUGUUCCAAGGGAUCAAAAUAUUACUGCUAAAACAAUGGAAUCUCUACAAAUUCCUAAAGGUGUUCAGCGUGUACUAUUUAGAACAUUAAACACUGACAGGCAGCUAAUGUGGAAGAAAGAGUUUGACACAAGUUAUGUGGGCUUUAUGAAGGAUGGUGCCCAAUGGUUGGUAGAUAAUACAGAUAUCAAGCUUAUUGGAAUAGACUAUUUGUCUGUUGCAGCUUUUGAUGACUUGAUCCCUUCACAUUUAGUUCUUCUCAAAAACCGGGUAUGCUGAUACUUCAAGUAAUUUUAUUUAGUUCACAUUUAUUUACUGAAUUCACUGUGCAUUCUUUCAAUUUUGGGCAACCAAACCCUGCAACUGAGGAAAAGCCCCUAGUUAUGGAAAGCCCUUCUCAAGGAAGAUAUCAUUCUUGUCGAGGGUCUCAAACUGGAGAAUGUCAAUCCUGGGCUAUACUCUGUGCAUUGUCUGCCACUUCGGUUGCGUGGAGCUGAAGGUUCGCCGAUCAGAUGCAUCCUUAUAAAGUGAUGAAAUUGUUGUUAUGUCUCCCGCCGCAUCCUUGUUUGGUACAACACAAGCAAUUUGCCUCUCUCUUGAAAAUCAUGUGAAUAGCUAGCCAAUAUAUGUUGUUUCCUUAUGUUACAGUAGGCUAAAUGCUGAGUACAUAUGCUGUCAUAUCAUCAUGUAUGGCUAAACCAGAUCUGUAAUCCAUUAUUUUGGGCACAAGCUCUGAUAUCAUCAUGCUAUAUUAAUAUUUCUCCUAUAUAUAACCUCGUUGACAACUAUCAUGGACAA
Non-coding RNA from Lolium perenne, 1265 nucleotides. Lineage: Eukaryota; Viridiplantae; Streptophyta; Magnoliopsida; Poales; Poaceae. The record is from RefSeq and is a predicted model, not a curated record.